AACAAAAACAUGUCCUUUAGGAUUGAAUUUAAGGUUUAACCUGCCCACUGAUUGAUAUUAAAUGGCCGCAGUAUUUUGACUGUGCAAAGGUAGCAUAAUCAUUAGUUUUUUAAUUGAAAGCUUGUAUGAAUGGUUGGACGAGAUAUAGACUGUCUUUAAAUUAUAAAUAGAAUUUAAUUUUUAAGUUAAAAAGCUUAAAUGUUAUUAAAAGACGAGAAGACCCUAUAGAUCUUUAUAAAUAAUUUUAUUAAAUUUUUUAGGAUUAAUAAUUAUUUAAUUUGAUUAUUUAUUUUAUUGGGGUAAUAGAAAGAUAAAAUAAAUUCUUUUUUUUGUUUACAUAUAUAAUUGGUUAUUUUGAUCCAAUAUUAUUGAUUAUAAGAUUAAGUUACCUUAGGGAUAACAGCGUAAUUUUUUUAGAGAGUUCAUAUCGAUAAGAAAGUUUGCGACCUCGAUGUUG
Molecule: ribosomal RNA, 457 nt
Filed under: Pachynectes hygrotoides
Lineage: Eukaryota; Metazoa; Arthropoda; Insecta; Coleoptera; Dytiscidae
Description: partial 16S ribosomal RNA
Rfam family: Bacterial large subunit ribosomal RNA
Source: RNAcentral